Molecule: ribosomal RNA, 808 nt
Filed under: uncultured bacterium
Lineage: Bacteria
Description: bacterial SSU rRNA
Rfam family: Bacterial small subunit ribosomal RNA
Source: RNAcentral
GAGGUAACGGCUCACCAAGGCGACGAUGGGUAGCCGACCUGAGAGGGUGAUCGGCCACACUGGAACUGAGACACGGUCCAGACUCCUACGGGAGGCAGCAGUGGGGAAUAUUGGGCAAUGGGCGCAAGCCUGACCCAGCAACGCCGCGUGAGGGAAGAAGGUCUUCGGAUUGUAAACCUCUGUCCUUGGGGACGAAAAAAAUGACGGUACCCAAGGAGGAAGCUCCGGCUAGCUACGUGCCAGCAGCCGCGGUAAUACGUAGGGAGCGAGCGUUGUCCGGAAUUACUGGGCGUAAAGGGUGCGUAGGCGGUCAGGCAAGUCAGAUGUGAAAUCCCCGGGCUUAACUCGGGUGGUGCAUUUGAAACUGCUUGACUUGAGUGCAGGAGAGGAAAGCGGAAUUCCUAGUGUAGCGGUGAAAUGCGUAGAUAUUAGGAGGAACAUCAGUGGCGAAGGCGGCUUUCUGGACUGUAACUGACGCUGAGGCACGAAAGCGUGGGGAGCAAACAGGAUUAGAUACCCUGGUAGUCCACGCUGUAAACGAUGGAUACUAGGUGUGGGGGAGAUACAACCUCCGUGCCGCAGCAAACGCAAUAAGUAUCCCGCCUGGGGAGUACGGUCGCAAGGCUGAACUCAAGGAUUUGACGGGGACCCGCACAAGCAGCGGAGCAUGUGGUUUAAUUCGAAGCACGCGAAGAUCUUUACCAAGGCUUGACAUCCCUUGACAGCCGUGGAAACACGGUUUCCCUUCGGGGCAAGAGACAGGUGGUGCAUGUUUGUCGUCAGCUCGUGUUCGUGAGAUGUUGGGUUU